This 423-nucleotide ribosomal RNA is filed under the name uncultured bacterium. Its description in RNAcentral is "partial small subunit ribosomal RNA". It matches the Rfam family "Bacterial small subunit ribosomal RNA", at positions 369 to 808 of the family's 1533-position model. The record is from RNAcentral.
CANUGGAGGAACUCUGAUGCANCGACGCCGCGCUGAGUGAAGAAGUAAUUCNUUAUGUAAAGCUCUAUCAGCAGGGGAAGAUAGUGACGGUACCUGACUAAGAAGCUCCNGCUAAAUACNUGCCAGCAGCCNCGGUAAUACNUAUGGAGCAAGCGUUAUCCGGAUUUACUGGGUGUAAAGGGAGUGUAGGUGGCCNUGCNAGUCAGAAGUGAAAAUCCGGGGCUCAACCCCNGAACUGCUUUUGAAACUGUAAGGCUAGAGUGCAGGAGGGGUGAGUGGAAUUCCUAGUGUAGCGGUGAAAUGCGUAGAUAUUAGGAGGAACACCAGUGGCGAAGGCGGCUCACUGGACUGUAACUGACACUGAGGCUCGAAAGCGUGGGGAGCAAACAGGAUUAGAUACCCUGGUAGUCCAAGGGCGAAUUC